RNAcentral lists this ribosomal RNA (275 nucleotides) under uncultured bacterium. RNAcentral describes it as "partial 16S ribosomal RNA". It matches the Rfam family "Bacterial small subunit ribosomal RNA", at positions 79 to 353 of the family's 1533-position model. The record is from RNAcentral.
CUAAGUUUGAUGGCGACCGGCGCACGGGUGAGUAACACGUACCCAACCUGCCGAUGACUCGGGGAUAGCCUUUCGAAAGAAAGAUUAAUACCCGAUGGCAUAGUUCUUCCGCAUGGUAGAACUAUUAAAGAAUUUCGGUCAUCGAUGGGGAUGCGUUCCAUUAGGUUGUUGGCGGGGUAACGGCCCACCAAGCCUUCGAUGGAUAGGGGUUCUGAGAGGAAGGUCCCCCACAUUGGAACUGAGACACGGUCCAAACUCCUACGGGAGGCAGCAUG